RNAcentral lists this transfer RNA (85 nucleotides) under Actinoplanes derwentensis. RNAcentral describes it as "tRNA-Gly". Lineage: Bacteria; Bacillati; Actinomycetota; Actinomycetes; Micromonosporales; Micromonosporaceae. The record is from RNAcentral.
CCCGGGCCAGCCACGGCAGUAGCCGCUCGCUGCCGGCGAACGCGAACCCCUGGUCGCAGCUGUCGUUCCAGACGACGUCCCAGGC